Long non-coding RNA from Carya illinoinensis, 1143 nucleotides. RefSeq lists it as uncharacterized. NCBI's taxonomy places the organism in Eukaryota, Viridiplantae, Streptophyta, Magnoliopsida, Fagales, Juglandaceae. The transcript is spliced from 2 exons. The record is from RefSeq and is a predicted model, not a curated record.
AAAAAUAAAGUUGAUGCUGGUGUGGUAUUAGCUAGGCUUCUCUAGAGGGACAGAACACGUGUACUCUCAUAUAGAGAGAGAGAUUCUAACUCUAAAGAGAGAGAGAACUGAGACAGUCCAGGGGAGAAGAACCUUGGAAGACACGCCCCUUCUUCUCUCUCUCUCUUCCGGUUUUCAAAACCAGCAACCAACCCCACUUGUAUCAUGAAUUCACUGAACCCAACCCCUGAUCUCCCUCUGUCUCUCACUCUCUCUGUAAUAUCUGUAGUAAUAAUAAUUGUGAUCAUCGAAAUACAGUGCAACGGCCCACAAAUGUAUCCAAAGGAAAGGAUGUACCAAUUCCAUUCCACCCUUCCCAUUCGUUCAUAUAACAUUCAUUCCACCUUUAGAAAUUAAUGUAGCAGAAAACCCACUUCUCAAUUUUUGUGCUUGAAAUUGUCUCGAUAAGUUUUCUAUGCUGUAGGCUACUGACCAGAAAAGAAAGGAUCUGUAAAGGGCUCCGUCUGUCGUGUUUCUUCAUUCGGAAAUUUUCUUAUCACCACAACGGAAGGCUUCGGUAGCUUUUUCAACGUCACUGUUGUUCAACCUUGGAGUCUGGUUGGAGGACGUCGUCUCAGGAUUUGCGCAUUGAACUGAAGUUGCGAUUCUUUGUGGACAGAUAGAGACAAGUGGUUCUGAUUAGAGGUUGAAGAUGGUCGCGACUGUUGGUUCUUAGAAGGGAUACCCAAAAUCAAUUUUUCUUGCAAGACUAAAGUUUUGAAUCCGCUCUGCAUUUGUAGCUAUUGAAGACGCAAGUGUUGAACCUGGGAUCUAAGCAGCAUUAGUUUCUAAGAAGAACCGCUACACUGGGUUGUUAAAGCAGAAGCCGGAAGGAUUGCUACCUUAAGAGGAUUCUCUGAAUUUUAAAUUUGAUUGCUUAUUGCAACUGCUAGAAUUCCCUUUUACACAUUUCAACCAGCAAUUUAACUACGGCCACAAUUGUUUCGAGUUACGAAAAAGCUGGAAGUUUGGACAUUUCUUUGGCAGAUAUAUGUCUCUUUGAAUUCAGACAUUGUGUGAUUUGCAUCAGUUCAAUCUGAUCUGGGGUGCUGUGAAUUGGGUUGGUGGCUAGGAGAAUUUUUAAUGAGAUUUGAACUUCCUGAA